Molecule: ribosomal RNA, 147 nt
Filed under: Methyloversatilis sp.
Lineage: Bacteria; Pseudomonadati; Pseudomonadota; Betaproteobacteria; Nitrosomonadales; Sterolibacteriaceae
Description: partial 16S ribosomal RNA
Rfam family: Bacterial small subunit ribosomal RNA
Source: RNAcentral
GAACUAUAGAGUUUGAUCCUGGCUCAGAUUGAACGCUGGCGGCAUGCCUUACACAUGCAAGUCGAACGGCAGCACGGGAGCAAUCCUGGUGGCGAGUGGCGAACGGGUGAGUAAUAUAUCGGAACGUGCCCAGUCGUGGGGGAUAAC